GGGAAAGUGGCUGAGCGGUUAAAAGCGACAGACUGUAAAUCUGUUGAAUACAUUUCUACGUAGGUUCGAAUCCUGCCUUUCCCA
Molecule: transfer RNA, 84 nt
Filed under: Chlorella vulgaris
Lineage: Eukaryota; Viridiplantae; Chlorophyta; Trebouxiophyceae; Chlorellales; Chlorellaceae
Rfam family: tRNA
About the family: Transfer RNA (tRNA) molecules are approximately 80 nucleotides in length. Their secondary structure includes four short double-helical elements and three loops (D, anti-codon, and T loops).
Source: Rfam by way of RNAcentral